Molecule: ribosomal RNA, 293 nt
Filed under: uncultured bacterium
Lineage: Bacteria
Also listed under: 2 other names
Description: partial 16S ribosomal RNA
Source: RNAcentral
GGACUACUGGGGUAUCUAAUCCCGUUCGCUCCCCUGGCUUUCGCGCCUCAACGUCAGUUGGAGUCCAGGACCCUGCUUUCGCCGUCGGCGUUCCUUCCGAUCUCAACGCAUUUCACCGCUCCACCGGCAGUUCCAGGUCCCCCUCCUCCACUCGAGGCCCGCCAUCUCGGUGCCCGUUCCCCGGUUGAGCCGGGGGAUUUCAGCGACCGAUGCGCGGGCCCGUCUACGCGCCCUUUAAGCCCAGUGAUUCCGAAUAACGUUCGCACGGUUCGUCUUACCGCGGCUGCUGGCAC